CUGAACCAGCCAAGUAGCGUGAAGGAUGACUGCCCUAUGGGUUGUAAACUUCUUUUAUAUGGGAAUAAAGUAUUCCACGUGUGGGAUUUUGUAUGUACCAUAUGAAUAAGGAUCGGCUAACUCCGUGCCAGCAGCCGCGGUAAUACGGAGGAUCCGAGCGUUAUCCGGAUUUAUUGGGUUUAAAGGGAGCGUAGGUGGAUUGUUAAGUCAGUUGUGAAAGUUUGCGG
This 227-nucleotide ribosomal RNA is filed under the name uncultured bacterium. RNAcentral's name for it is "partial 16S ribosomal RNA". It matches the Rfam family "Bacterial small subunit ribosomal RNA", at positions 383 to 607 of the family's 1533-position model. The record is from RNAcentral.